Long non-coding RNA from Bufo bufo (common toad), 234 nucleotides. RefSeq lists it as uncharacterized. NCBI's taxonomy places the organism in Eukaryota, Metazoa, Chordata, Amphibia, Anura, Bufonidae. The transcript is spliced from 2 exons. The record is from RefSeq and is a predicted model, not a curated record.
CCACAGCCCUGGAGCUCGGACUAUUCUGACUGGUGGAUCAGGUGGUAAAUCGAGGAUUUGACUGAAUGAAGCCUGAAGGGCAUCGUGGACAUUUCCAGAGUCAGUUGGUUCAGGGAGAACUCUAACCCCUAAGUUAUAGCGAUGGCCUCUGUUAUCUGUGUCCUCUGGGGUCUUCUCAGUUCACACAAGGCCUGAGUUUGGGCGUCUGAAUUAUUGUGGAUUUGGAUUGCUAAA